RNAcentral lists this ribosomal RNA (403 nucleotides) under uncultured bacterium. RNAcentral's name for it is "bacterial SSU rRNA". It matches the Rfam family "Bacterial small subunit ribosomal RNA", at positions 28 to 433 of the family's 1533-position model. The record is from RNAcentral.
GACGAACGCUGGCGGCGUGCUUAACACAUGCAAGUCGAGCGGUAAGGCCCUUUCGGGGGUACACGAGCGGCGAACGGGUGAGUAACACGUGGGUGACCUGCCCUCAGCUCUGGGAUAAGCCUGGGAAACCGGGUCUAAUACUGGAUAUGACUCCAUGACGCAUGUUGUGGGGUGGAAAGCCUUGUGCGGCUGAGGAUGGGCCCGCGGCCUAUCAGCUUGUUGGUGGGGUGANGGCCUACCAAGGCGACGACGGGUAGCCGGCCUGAGAGGGCGACCGGCCACACUGGGACUGAGACACGGCCCAGACUCCUACGGGAGGCAGCAGUGGGGAAUCUUGCGCAAUGGGCGAAAGCCUGACGCAGCGACGCCGCGCGAGGGAUGACGGCCUCGGUUCGUAACGUAC